This 295-nucleotide unclassified non-coding RNA is filed under the name uncultured fungus. RNAcentral's name for it is "partial contains small subunit ribosomal RNA, internal transcribed spacer 1, and 5.8S ribosomal RNA". The stretch from base 1 to 73 matches the Rfam family "Eukaryotic small subunit ribosomal RNA", at positions 1759 to 1831 of the family's 1831-position model. The record is from RNAcentral. Lineage: Eukaryota; Fungi.
ACAAACUUGGUCAUUUAGAGGAAGUAAAAGUCGUAACAAGGUCUCCGUUGGUGAACCAGCGGAGGGAUCAUUACUGAGUUUUCUAAACUCCCAAACCCUUGAGAACAUACCUUGGUUGCCUCGGCGAAAGCGUCGCCCUGGGAUGGCCUACCCUGUAGCGUCUUACCCUGGGCGGCGCCCCCGCCGGUGGUCUUCUAAACUCUGUUUUAUUGUGUCACUUCUGAGGAUUAUUAUAAAAUCAGUUAAAACUUUCAACAACGGAUCUCUUGGUUCUGGCAUCGAUGAAGAACGCAGC